RNAcentral lists this ribosomal RNA (406 nucleotides) under uncultured bacterium. RNAcentral's name for it is "partial 16S ribosomal RNA". It matches the Rfam family "Bacterial small subunit ribosomal RNA", at positions 30 to 526 of the family's 1533-position model. The record is from RNAcentral.
AUUGAACGCUGGCGGCAGGCCUAACACAUGCAAGUCGAACGAGUGGCGGACGGGUGAGUAAUGUCUGGGAACCUGCCUGAUGGAGGGGGAUAACUACUGGAAACGGUAGCUAAUACCGCAUACCAGCGGAUGUGCCCAGAUGGGAUUAGCUAGUAGGUUGGGUAAGGGCUCACCUAGGCGACUAUCCCUAGCUGGUGUGAGAGGCUGACCAGCCACCCUGGAAGUGAGACACGGUCCAGACUCCAACGGGAGGAAGCAGUGGGGAAUAUUGCACAAUGGGCUCAAGUCUGAUGCAGCCAUGCCGCGUGUAUGAAGAAGGCCUUCGGGUUGUAAAGUACUUUCAGCGGGGAGGCGUUACCCGCAGAAGAAGCACCGGCUAACUCCGUGCCAGCAGCCGCGGUAAUUC